GCGUAACUCUAUUUAUAAUAGACUCUGCAGAAAGUAUUUGCAGUUUAGCUUUCAGUAUCGUGGAUAUUAGAUGGUGUUACCAUUUCGUCUGGUGUUUCGAAUAUUUCCGAUUGAUAAUUACCUACUAGGUACUGAAAAUUUUAUUCAAAAAGUCUUCUGUGAAAACUCCAAAGCAGAUUAUAGCCUACUGCUCAAAAUGACGAUCAGCCAGUGACCAAUGAAACAAACAAAAGCUUGAGCUGUGUGUUGAAUGCCGUGAAGGCCUAUUUUUAUCUUAGCUAAUCGCGUGAUUUUUGCUGUGACUCGCGUGUUAUCGAGUAUAAUAUUUUGUUCUACGUUUGGUGCAUUUUGUUGUGGUGUUGUCAAUAACAAAUACAUAGUUUGAAGAAGGCCACUUCGUGUAUCAAGUGCAAAAAGCGAAAUUCCAGUGAACAAAGGAAAUCAUAUUUCACAGGCAGCAAGGAUUGCCGCAUCGAUUUGUCAUAAACCGCUUCGGAUACAUUAGCCAGUGGGCAAUUUCGCAUACUAAACCAGGCACAUAUAACAGCAUCAUGCAGCGGUGGUGGUUUCUCGACGAAAAAAACGGAUCGGCCAGCAGCUUAGCUUCAUCGUCCGGGGUUGCAUCUAAAAAGACUAAACCCCAAAAACCUCCUGGUGAUCGACGUCAUAAGUUUCGAGUGUUGGUCACCUACGAGCUGUUGAAGGAUGAAACAAUAGCCGUUACGGGAAACUGCGAAGCUCUUGGCAAUUGGGAAUCGGAACAUUGUGUCCAGAUGCAGUUGGAAGAUGGUUCCACAAACAUAUGGUACUUGGAAAUUGACCUACCUCAGGACAUAGUAGUUUUCUAUCGGUACUUAAUUUGCUCUAUGGAUCCCAUAAGUGAAAAUGUUCAUGUUAGACGCUUCGAAACUCACACCAACCCACGCAAUAUCCCUAAGGACGGCAUGCCCAGCAGUGCCGACGAGGGAAAGAAAAUUGAUACACUCGGGGACAUCGAUGGUUCGAUUAAACUGGACAGAGGCUGGUUAACCAGCGAGACAAUAAUACAGUUUAAGUUCUUCGACAAUCCCUUUUCUGUAAAGGAGAGAAUAAAAAAUCGACUAUUGUAUGUAAAGAUAACACCGAUGAAUCUUCGUAUUAACGCAGAGUCCCAAAGCCUAUCGACCCUAUUGGAUGAAUCACUAUCGAAUGAUACUCGGGAGAAUGGAACCGAACACCAAGCAUACGCAUUUACAGAGGUGGUGUCGAUGGGCAAUGCCAAUGCAACCUUUGAGCAGCAGUCCCAAUUCGGAAGUCCUUACCACCCAGAAGACUUUCUGGUGUUUAAUGUGACGGUGGCGGAGCCAGAAAAUGUGGCCUAUCUAGUUGAUCUGUAUACGUACAGUUCACGUUCCAAGGAGGAUGAACCGCCUUAUCAUUUGGGCUACCACUAUAUUUUACCCAAUCUUUUGAAAAAAUCCGAAGGCAUUCUGGAGCUUCCUGUGACAUGUGCUAGUAAACAUCGUCCACUGGGAAUGAUGCGUAUCGAGUACCUGAAAAUAACUCCCUUGCUUCCGUCGUGUUGCAAUCUUGAACAAUCCUACAUCAGAUAUUGGAAUAAGCGGUGGACUGGGCUUGAUGUUGGUCAUCGUGGGUCAGGAACCAGCUUCAAGGCCAGCGACGGCAACGUGAUCCGAGAAAAUACAAUUGCUUCUCUGAAAAAUGCCGUUGCCCAUGGUGCUGACAUGGUUGAAUUCGAUGUUCAGCUGAGCAAAGACUUAGUACCAGUUAUCUAUCAUGAUUUCGACAUCUAUGUCUCACUGAAACGUAAAACGACCCUCGAGAUAAAUGAUAUGUUGGAGUUGCCGAUGCGUGAAUUGACGCUAGAGCAGUUGAAAAAUCUGAAGGUCUACCAUGUCGUAGAAGGUAGAAAUCGUGAAGCACGCUUCUUCGACGAGGAUCUGGAUGAGCAUCAACCGUUCCCACAACUGGCUGACGCACUGGAAUUGAUCGACUCUCACUGUGGUUUCAAUAUCGAAAUCAAGUGGUCGCAGAAACUCAAAGACGGCUCUAUGGAAUCGGACCUAAAUUUCGACUCGAAUCUAUACGUUGAUUGUAUUUUAAAAGUCGUUUUAGAGAAAGCCGGUAAAAGACGGAUAGUGUUCUCUUGCUUCGAUGCGGAUAUUUGUACAAUGUUGCGUCUGAAGCAGAAUCUCUACCCUGUGAUGUUCUUAACGCUAGGCGUUACCAGUCGCUAUCCGAGUUAUCACGAUCCACGCUGUAACUCGAUCGAGAUGGCUGUGAGGAACGCCUGUGCCACUGAACUACUAGGGAUUGUCGCGCAUACCGAGGAUUUACUGCGCGAUCAAACACAGGUUAACUUGGCGACAGAGAAAGGAUUAAUCGUAUUCUGUUGGGGCGAUGAUAACAACUGCAAAGAUACUAUCAAACAUUUAAAGAGCCUGGGAAUUCAUGCAAUCAUUUACGAUAAGAUGGACAUUUAUUCAGACAAAACUGUAAAAGAACAAGUGAACAAAAUUCCGAUCCCGCUCGUUGUGAUUCUGGCAGCAGGACCAAGCACACACUUCCUCGCUACAUCGUGAUUCUGGAUAUUUAUAGCUAAAUGAUGAACUCAACAACUAUUAAGUUGAAAGAAAAGGUUGUAAUGGCAGCUAAAAAGGCUCCAGCCUCUUCAAAUCAAGUAGAUGUUAUUAAACAUUCAAACGGCAGUGAGGAAUAUUUAGAAGAUGACCCUAUAAUCUUUGAAAAAUUGAGCUACAAGAAGCUUGAAUAUUAUGUCUAUCAGCCAAGUGAAACUUUUGCAGUCUGCCACACACAUCCCGGUAAGCCAACUGCCAAGUACCAGUACCGUCUGCGAUGGUGGCCGUCCCAUGUGAUUUGUGAUGUGAUGCGACAAUUCCUGAUCCUGAUCAAAGAAGGCUUCUUUCCCGAAGAUACAUCCAGGCUUUAAUAUGGAGAAAAUUAUUUCUACGGAUGGCACCGCUUAGAGUCUGAACAAAAUUUUGGUUAUCGAUAGAAAGGCAGAUUGUAUAUUCGACAUCAAUAACUACAGCAGUACAUUUAUAUAAUUGUUAUUCUCUUAGAAAUUAAAAUGUUUUUUUUUCUGUUUCCGUCAUUAUUUGUUUCUGAUCAUCAAUUAUCAAGAGUUAUAAACACUGAAGCAGAAUCCUGCUACGACCAAUUCAAACCGGGAGCUAAAAUAAACUAUUCAUUAUAAAGCCACACUAUGCUAAAGCCAAAUAAAUCAAAGUUAUACUAAGCGGGUAUAGUUGCCACUUAAUCUAACAUGGGGUCAACCAGGCGAGUAUCGGUUUAGCGUAACAUUAAUUCUAUUUAGUAUUUAUUUUUCUCAGAGUGUAGGUAGAUUUGGCUUCACUCUUUGCGCAACUCUAUAUAUCUAUAAUAGACUCUGCGCACAUCGAAAAAUUUCGAAUGAGCCACUGCGAAAGACGCUUUUCGUACCGUUAAUGGAAGGCGUGAAAAACGUACCCCCAUAUCUUGGCCAAAGUUCAACUUGGAACGCAAAAGUUCAGUUUAUUUUUAAUUAAUUUAGUUUACAUUUAAACGAAUAACACUGAAUCAUCAAUUUGACGCCACAAAAUUUCAGUUUACUUUACUUGAAUAAAAUAAAAAACAAAGACUUCCCGUGGA
Molecule: RNA transcript, 3651 nt
Organism: Armigeres subalbatus
Lineage: Eukaryota; Metazoa; Arthropoda; Insecta; Diptera; Culicidae
Gene name: glycerophosphocholine phosphodiesterase GPCPD1
Exons: 8
Source: RefSeq, a predicted model, not a curated record